AUUGAACGCUGGCGGCAUGCCUUACACAUGCAAGUCGAACGGCAGCACGGGAGCAAUCCUGGUGGCGAGUGGCGAACGGGUGAGUAAUGUAUCGGAACGUGCCCAGUCGUGGGGGAUAACGUAGCGAAAGCUACGCUAAUACCGCAUACGAUCUAUGGAUGAAAGCGGGGGACCGUAAGGCCUCGCGCGAUUGGAGCGGCCGAUAUCAGAUUAGGUAGUUGGUGGGGUAAAGGCCUACCAAGCCGACGAUCUGUAGCUGGUCUGAGAGGACGAGGAGCCACAAUGGGACUGAGUCACGGCCCAGACUCCUACGGGAGGCAGCAGUGGGGAAUUUUGGACAAUGGGCGCAAGCCUGAUCCAGCAAUGCCGCGUGCAGGAUGAAGGCCUUCGGGUUGUAGACUGCUUUUGUACGGAGCGAAAAGGCUCUCUCUAAUACAGGGGGCUCAUGACGGUACCGUAAGAAUAAGCACCGGCUAACUACGUGCCAGCAGCCGCGGUAA
RNAcentral lists this ribosomal RNA (500 nucleotides) under uncultured bacterium. RNAcentral's name for it is "partial 16S ribosomal RNA". It matches the Rfam family "Bacterial small subunit ribosomal RNA", at positions 30 to 523 of the family's 1533-position model. The record is from RNAcentral.